This 587-nucleotide unclassified non-coding RNA is filed under the name Bombus terrestris (buff-tailed bumblebee). Its description in RNAcentral is "misc RNA ENSBTSG00005027754.1". The record is from RNAcentral. Lineage: Eukaryota; Metazoa; Arthropoda; Insecta; Hymenoptera; Apidae.
UGGAAAUAACAUGUCUACAACAUCUGUCAAUGCAAACUUCAAAUACCCCAACUAUGAAUGUACGAAUGAGAACGAUACUCAGAAAACUAUUCAUCAUCGUUCAGAACACGCAAUAGUAGCUGGCUGCAUCGAAGGGAGUAAAAAGUAGCGUACCUACAUAACGUAAUCUUGUCAGACGUAGCUCGGGAUAAUGAGAAUCGCAAUCAGGCCGGAGACUGGAUAUUUCAGGUGAUGAUCACGAUCGCCCUGGGCCUUAGUUUCGAUUGCAAACGAUUUAUCUUUCGUGCUGACCACGGCAGCGACCGACUAUAAUCAAGGAAACAUCACUCUGGUGGACAGACUUUGGUGCCAGUUACACAAGAGAAAAAUACGCCAGAUAAAACGUAAUGCUCGGUCACCGGAAAUGACGGGUUCAUCGUCACGCCCUUCUGCGAAGUCCUUCUAGAACGACGUUUAAGAAAAGGACAUUGCACCAUGGUCUAUAAAUGAAAUUUAACAGUUCAAUGGUCUGAAGAUGGUAGAAUCUAAAUUUUAGAAAGAAAAUGAUUUGGAAUUUUAUAUAUAGGUUCCUUAACGUUAUCUUUGAA